Long non-coding RNA from Mesocricetus auratus (golden hamster), 1921 nucleotides. RefSeq lists it as uncharacterized. The record is from RefSeq and is a predicted model, not a curated record. The transcript has 2 exons. Lineage: Eukaryota; Metazoa; Chordata; Mammalia; Rodentia; Cricetidae.
UGCCUCAGGUGGCAAGCAAGCCCUGUGUUCUGCCUGGAAGGCAGACAGCUCAGCCUGGAGCUGGGUCUGGAGCUGGCGUGCUGGAGGACCCUCCAGGGCCUGAAGCACCAUGGCCCCAAGGCCCAUGGCCAGCAGACACAGGAAGACACGGGCUUCUCACCUCCUGGUACUCACCCAAGAAAUCUACUGAGACACCACCAGGGAGAGCAAGCUCAGGAAAACUCUUUGAAGGAAGUAAUAUUUUAACCAGCGACUAAGAAGCCAGUUAUGAACUGGGUGAUUGGAAGGCAUGCCUUUGAUUACAGCACUUGGGAGGCAGAUGCAAGCCUGAGUUUGAGGCCAGCCUGGUCUACAGAGUGAGUUCCAGAACAGCCAGAGCUACACGGACAAACCCUGUCUAGGAAAAUAAAACAAAAGUCAGUUUUGGCACUGGGUGAUGGUUGAGCGGUGAAGUGCACUGGCUGCUCUUCCAGAGGGCCUGGGUUUGGUUCCUGGCACCCACAUGGCAGCUCACAACUGCCUAUGACUCCAGUUCCAGGGGGUCUGACCCUACUUCUGGCUUCCUCCGGUACCAGGCACACUUGUGGUGAAGACACAUAGAACAUAGGGAGGGCCAAUUGUGAUGGCACACACCUUCAAUCCCUGCACUUAGGAGGCAGAAGGGCAGAUUUCUGUGAGUUUGAGGUCAACCUGAUUCACAUAGUGAGUUCCAAGUCAGUUAGGGCUACAGAGUAAGACCAUCUCAAAAUAAAAUUAAAUAAACAUUUAAAAAUAAUAAAAAAGUCAGGCGUAGUAAUCAAGAGACUAACUAACCAAGAGGAAGGGUCUGAGAACAUAGUCCUUUGAGAACAGUGAACCUAUGGAAAUCUCUAUAGAACUCUAUGGUAUUCUGCGUGGAACAGUGGUGGUCUAGGCAGAGGGUGGGAAAGAAUUGUGGGUUUAGAUGGAAGUAGGGGAGAAAAAUGAGGGAAGAGCACUGAACAGGUGAUGCUGCCAAACUUUCUGUCCCAGCUUUUGCUGAGGAUGUCCUUGCCUCCCUACCUGGCUAGGCUGCAGACCAGGAAUGACUGCCAUGUGUAAAUGGGGAGAUUCACUCAAAAACCAUAAGGGGACCCUAGCCUAAGACAGAACCUCAAAGCAGUGUUCAGAAUGCCAGGGUGGGUCAUGAUGAUACCUGGUGGGCGCUUAUUCUGCUAGAUAAACCCAGGACAAACCCUUAAGAUGCUUCCCAGAGGGCUAUGGGAAUGAGAUCUACUGGGGUGGGGGGAGCAUGGCCUGGGAAAGACUCUUGGGCAUGAUGAUAUUGCAGCUGGGUCCAGAAGACAGCCAGGGACCACCUAGCAGCAGGGCAAACCUUCACUUGAAUGGUAGAAAUGGCUCAGUUAAAACUGUGGAGUGGACAAAGUCUGGCCAUGGUGAUCAGGUGGAUGAGAUUGGUUUCUGUAGUGUUGGGAGGCAGACAAGGGGCCCUUAUUGAUUAUCCAGAUGGUGGGCUGGGCCCUAGGGGAGGAAUGUGGUACCAGACUGUCUAGAUUUGUCUCUGGCUAUUUAUCUGCCCAUUGCUUUAGGGGCACGAGGACAAGGAGACUGGAUUAUCUCCAAGAAAGGUAACAGACUGCAUUUGGGGAGACAGCUUACAAGUUUAUUUGGCGUCAUUGGCUCCCCAGGCCAAGGCCCCCACCUUGGCCGGGGCACUAGAAAGGCACCCAGAGAGCCCCGGGUCUGAUAACCUCCAGGGAAGGGGGUCCAGGAACUAGGCCUUGGGGACAGGGGCCACAGUAACAGGACUUGGUCAAAAGUGCUGGUGACACCUGAGGUCGGCCCCUGUACCUCCCCUGUACCUCCCCCUCCUCCCUGCACCACUCCUGGGGGCAAUUCCCUGAGACAGGCUCUGGUCCUCCCAACCAGCUAGGUACAGUGU